GAAGCCUUUGCGUAAACCCGGAGGCUGCUGGGCGCUGGCCUGGAGGGCAGCACGGACUUUCGUGUUCUUUUAACCCCACAGUGAAAACGUCCCCUGGAUGUUUCAUCUGAUGAAAAGUGCCACCGUCCUUUUCCAGUCUCGGUCACAUUCUCUCAUUUCCUUGCCAAGGACUGGGUGGUACGUCGCCCCCAAAGCGUGAAUUGACGUUGAGGAGGAAGAACCCUGUAAACUUUCUUUGCGAUCAGAACUAGAGACUUCUAAAUUCAUCUGAGAUUUAUUCAAACUCCUGUCUUAUCCCAAGCACUUUUAUACCCCCGGAUGCAAAGCUGUUUUCCAGUCGGAUGAACCAAGACUAGUUACCAUAACAACUGUGGUUAUUACCACUGAGGUUAUGCAUGUAUUGAGAGAAGACUUCUGCUUAUCCCCCAAAGUCCUCUGGCUAGCCUCUGGACACAGAGGAUGUCUCGUUUACUUCUUCAUCAAGGGAUUCCACAGCAGGAGGAAGGGCUGAGAGGCGGGACCACACGGGAGGCAGGACCUGAAGCUGCACGGACACGGGCCCCCGGCGGCGGCGGGAACCACGUCCUCAGGCAAUGGGAGAAGCGUCGGGCCAGCUGGGGGAGAGCAGAGGCAGCACAGCACGUGCUUGGCCUGCCUGCUUUACUUCCCACGUCCGCAGAGAUGUGGACUUGUUCUUGCAGCCCCACCCGAAAAGUCACCCGAGGAACUAAUUGCCCAUAUCUUUAUCGAAUAAUUUGGGAAAAGCCACUCGGAAGAAAUGGAUUGUUUGGAGGGAGAAGGAAGAGAAUAUCACUGAAAAAUGGAGGUACAGCCAACAUGGACACGUCCAGGGAUUUUGGGAACCAAUGGGCCGACUAGUUUCAGUACACAAUAAAAUAAGGUAUUUUGAGUAACAUGGAAGAAGAUAAGUUUCCUUUAUAAUGUGUGCCAUAUAAAUAAUCAGGGAAGAAGGGGUUGGCAUAAGAUUUUUUUGCCUCCUCCAUCCUAAGGAAUAAAUAAUUUUUUUCUUAAAGAGGACCUAUCUUGGGCUUCCCUGGUGGCACAGCGGUUGAGAGUCCGCCUGCCGAUGCAGGGGACACGGGUUCAUGCCCCGGUCUGGGAAGAUCCCACAUGCCGCGGAGCGGCUGGGCCCGUGAGCCAUGGCCGCUGAGCCUGCGCGUCCGGAGCCUGUGCUCCGCAACGGGAGAGGCCACAACAGUGAGAGGCCCGCGUACCGCAAAAAAAAAAAAAAAAAAAAAAGAGGACCUAUCUUGCCUUAUUUCUUAACUUUUCCAUGAUUGUGAUUUCAUUAGUUCAUCUAGGUACAGAAUUUAAACAUCUAAUCAAGGUGGAAAGAAUUAUGCACUUUAAAGCAUUCAAAUACUCAAUUUGGUAUUAAAAAUAAACCAAAUGGCCUGGGAUUCAGAUGUUUUAAUAAGUUCCAAGGUAUUAUACUAUUAGCCAUCUGCUUAUCAGCAGACAAAUGAAAACGUGGGAAUAUGGACACAUCAAAUAUUCAUGGAAAUCAAAUAGAAAUACAUUCUUUAGAAAAAAAUCAUUGAUACUUCUAGAUGGGUUACACCAGGCAAAUCUUUAUUUUUGUCUUCAGGUUUGUGUCUGUUAAGGGGACACCACACGCUACUUACUUUGUUUUAGGUGUAACCUACGUGUGCUGACGGUUUUGACUGAUCUGUUCAAAAUACUGUCUAUUGUCCUUCUGUGGGAGCCACCAGGAGCAAGGGGG
This is a long non-coding RNA of Monodon monoceros (narwhal), 1744 nucleotides long. Lineage: Eukaryota; Metazoa; Chordata; Mammalia; Artiodactyla; Monodontidae. The record is from Ensembl.